ACUGGUUUCACAUGGUGGCUUAGAUUUUAACAUCUUUGUAUCUAGCACCAUUUGAAAUCAGUGUU
This 65-nucleotide microRNA precursor is filed under the name Microcaecilia unicolor. Its description in RNAcentral is "Mun-Mir-29-P1d-v1_pre stem-loop". It matches the Rfam family "mir-29 microRNA precursor family". Rfam says of the family: This family represents the microRNA (miRNA) precursors mir-29. Animal miRNAs are transcribed as ~70nt precursors and subsequently processed by the Dicer enzyme to give a ~22nt product. The record is from RNAcentral. Lineage: Eukaryota; Metazoa; Chordata; Amphibia; Gymnophiona; Siphonopidae.